AUUGAACGCUGGCGGCAGGCCUAACGCAUGCAAGUCUAGCGGAUGAAGGGAGCUUGCUCCUGGAUUCAGCGGCGGACGGGUGAGUAAUGCCUAGGAAUCUGCCUGGUAGUGGGGGAUAACGUCCGGAAACGGGCGCUAAUACCGCAUACGUCCUGAGGGAGAAAGUGGGGGAUCUUCGGACCUCACGCUAUCAGAUGAGCCUAGGUCGGAUUAGCUAGUUGGUGGGGUAAAGGCCUACCAAGGCGACGAUCCGUAACUGGUCUGAGAGGAUGAUCAGUCACACUGGAACUGAGACACGGUCCAGACUCCUACGGGAGGCAGCAGUGGGGAAUAUUGGACAAUGGGCGAAAGCCUGAUCCAGCCAUGCCGCGUGUGUGAAGAAGGUCUUCGGAUUGUAAAGCACUUUAAGUUGGGAGGAAGGGCAGUAAGUUAAUACCUUGCUGUUUGGACGUUACCAACAGAAUAAGCACCGGCUAACUUCGU
RNAcentral lists this ribosomal RNA (483 nucleotides) under uncultured bacterium. RNAcentral describes it as "partial 16S ribosomal RNA". It matches the Rfam family "Bacterial small subunit ribosomal RNA", at positions 30 to 506 of the family's 1533-position model. The record is from RNAcentral.